GGUUUGAUUAUGGCUCAGAUUGAACGCUGGCGGGAUGCUUUACACAUGCAAGUCGAACGGCCAGCACGGACUUCGGUCUGACUGGCGAGGGUGGCGAACAGGUGAUAAUGUAUCCGGAACGUGCCCUGGUGGCGGGGAUAACUACGCUGAAAGCGUAGCUAAUACCGCAUACGCCCUUCGAAGCGGGGGACGCUGGGCCUCACUUACUAAUGGAAGCGGCCGAUAUCGGAUUAGCUAGUUGGUGGGAUAACGGCUCACAGGGCGACGUCCGUAGCUGGUUUGAGGGACGAUAACUUCACUGGGACUGAGACACGGCUGAACUCCUACGGGAGGCAGCGGUGGGGAAUUUUGGACAAUGGAAACCACAAGUCCAGCCAUCCCGCGUGUGCGAUGAAGGCCUUCGGGAUUGUAAAGGCACUCGGCGGGGAAAGAAACGGCACGGGAUAAUACCCCGUGCAACUGACGGUACCUGCAGAACGAAAGCACCGGCUAACUACGUGCCAAGCGGCGCGGUAAUACGUAGGGUGCAAGCGUUAAUCGGAAUUACUGGGCGCCUUAAAGCGUGCGCGAGCGGACCGGAAAGAAAAGAUGUGAAAUCCCAGAGCUUAACUUUGGAACUGCAUUUUUAACUACCGAGCUAGAGUGUGUCAGGGAGGUGGAAUUCGCGUGUAGCAGUGAAAUGCGUAGAUAUGCGGAGGAACACCGAUAGCGAAGGCCGCCUCCUGGGAUAACACUGACGCUCAUGCACAGCAUUAGAGGGAGCAAACGGGAUUAGAUACCUGGUAGUCCGCCCUAAACGAUGUCAACUAUUUGAGCGCUUCGGGCCUUGGUAGCGCAGCUAACGCGUGAAGUUGACCGCCUGGGAAGUACGGUCGCAAGAUUAAAAGCAAGGAGUUGACGGGGACCCGCACAAGCGGUGGACAGUGUGAUUAAUUCGAUGCAGCGAAAAACCUUUUCACCCUUGACAUGUCUGGGAAUCCCGAAGAGAUUUGGGAGUGCUCGCAAGAGAACCGGAGCUGGAGUGCUGCAUGGCUGUCGUCAGAAAGCUCGUGUCGUGAGAUGUUGGGUUAAGUCCCGCAACGAGCGCAACCCUUGUCAUGGUUGCUGAAAGGGCCUCUAAUGGACUGCCGGUGACAAACCGGAGGAAGGUGGGGAUGACGUCAAGUCCUCGCGGCCCUUAUGGGUAGGGCUUCACACGUCAUACAAUGGUCAGGACAGAGGGUCGCCAACCCGCGAGGGGAGCCAAUCCCAGAAACCCGAUCGUAGUCCGGAUACGCAGUCUGCAACUCGACUGCGUGAAGUCGGAAUCGCUAGUGGAUCAACAUGUCGCAUUUGAUACGUUCCAGGUCUUGUACACACCCGUCACACCAUGGGAGUGGGUUUUGCAGAAGUAGUUAGCCUAACCGUAAGGAGGGGCGAUUACCACGGUAGGAUUCAUGACUGGGGUGAAGUCAUGCUAAAGUAG
Molecule: ribosomal RNA, 1465 nt
Filed under: uncultured Bordetella sp.
Lineage: Bacteria; Pseudomonadati; Pseudomonadota; Betaproteobacteria; Burkholderiales; Alcaligenaceae
Description: partial 16S-23S ribosomal RNA intergenic spacer
Rfam family: Bacterial small subunit ribosomal RNA
Source: RNAcentral